This 28-nucleotide non-coding RNA is filed under the name Bombyx mori (domestic silkworm). The record is from RNAcentral. Lineage: Eukaryota; Metazoa; Arthropoda; Insecta; Lepidoptera; Bombycidae.
UCAAACUAUUCAACAUGGGCGUGCCGGA